Molecule: long non-coding RNA, 946 nt
Organism: Alosa alosa (allis shad)
Lineage: Eukaryota; Metazoa; Chordata; Actinopteri; Clupeiformes; Clupeidae
Exons: 5
Source: RefSeq, a predicted model, not a curated record
CUGAGUUUCAUUUCCUCCCAGAACACCCAUGGGGGUGUUAAGGCAGCAUUAGAGGACUUGUUUAAGGACCCUGCUCAGUCAACAGACCUGCCGAGAGAGGGGGAGAGACGAUGCUUUACCCCCAGAUUCCUCUGAACACCAGAGGACUCCAGAGGCGAGCGAGUGGAUAUGUAUUGAACAUGACCACAACCAGGUUGCACCUAAUCCUGCCAGUUCCACACCUCAGAGCAAAAAAGAGUCUUACGGUGAGAACUCCUGCAUCCGGCUGAAUCCCGCCGUUGGCUACAGGCAGGCAGUCCGCUCCACACAGCCUCCGCCUCUGCCAGAGCUUCUGAAGCAGACAGCUGUGGCCCCCAGGUCGACUCCCUGAAUACAAAGGAGCCCCAUCAAGGCCUUUAGAGUGGAGUCAGUUAGUGGAAUUAACGGAGCAGUCUGUGGCAGAGGGGAGAUGGCCUGCUUCACUCUGUGGCCCUCCACAAACACAGCUUUCAUGUGCUUGCAACAGCAGCCCCCUGACUAACCAGGCAGUGACAACACGCCAGUGCCGUUAAUGAGGAUUCAAAAACCCCUGAAGUUCAGAUUGCUGAGGCGCCACAGAGCUCCUUCUAUCAGAACACAGAGAACAGAUUGAGGGUGAGAAUGAAGAUGUGCUGGAGGAGGAGAGAGGAAAAAGAGCACAGCAGGCUGCCUUCUUCCCGGAGUCAACCAAAGACUUCAUUUUCAUAUUCAAUAGAUCGACAAUCCUUUACCUCUGCAAGUAUUCAAUAUCCUCUCUGAAGAGGAAAAGCAUUGUGUUUGGCAUUAUAGUGUCAAAGAGGACAGCAGAAAAGAACACUAAGCACUUUGAUAAGAGGACAUUAUAUUGAAGACUUCCUUCAGAAAACUUUUCAUUCUACUGAUCUAUUAGCAAACCAUACUGAUGCUACAGAUGAGAGACGGUAGAACA